GCCGACGUAGCUCAGUUGGUUAGAGCACGGGACUCAUAAGCCCGGGGUCGGAGGUUCGAUCCCUCCCGUCGGCA
RNAcentral lists this transfer RNA (74 nucleotides) under Nanobdellota archaeon. Its description in RNAcentral is "tRNA-Met". It matches the Rfam family "tRNA". Rfam says of the family: Transfer RNA (tRNA) molecules are approximately 80 nucleotides in length. Their secondary structure includes four short double-helical elements and three loops (D, anti-codon, and T loops). Lineage: Archaea; Nanobdellati; Nanobdellota. The record is from RNAcentral.